RNAcentral lists this long non-coding RNA (3836 nucleotides) under Triticum aestivum (bread wheat). RNAcentral's name for it is "long non-coding RNA (TAES_LNC011575)". The record is from RNAcentral. Lineage: Eukaryota; Viridiplantae; Streptophyta; Magnoliopsida; Poales; Poaceae.
UGCGAGUAUACCACAGGUUAAAAGAGAACACAUAUAGCAACAUUGCCGAUAGUUUGUUUUUUAGAAAAGGAGGACCUACCCCGCAUCUGGGCGAUGCAUGUGCUCACCUUAUUAAUUAUUUAUAAAGACUUUACAAAGUAGUAACAUUGCCGAUAGUUGAACAUUGAUUGCUGUUGUCAAUUCAACACCGGUUCGCUGACAUCAGGUGCCCACAAGAACCAACGAAAAGAGAACUAGAAAUGUGCCCACGGAUGGAGCUUUGAUAGCAUUAUUUGUGCAACUAAAAAAGACGUCAUGGGCUCAUACAACCUUGGAACAACAAAAUCCUUCAAAGAACCGCUCAUGUCAAAGUACGGAGCCAACAACAAAGCCACUGACGGUCGCUGCUUUUUCCCGAUUCCGUGAGACAUGUUGUAGACACCAUGACCAUGUUCACACAACAAGAUACAGGUCACUGGCUAAACGAAGACAAGAACAGGAAAAACAGUUACAAUCAUGAUUUUUUUUGCGGGGGAGUUACAAUCAUGAUCAUGAACAGACAAAGCUCCAAACUUACAAUCAUGAAUAGGCUCGAUGCAGCGAGUGCAAGGGGGAUGCCGACGGAGGUGAUCGCAUCGUAGUGCCCUUUCAGGUGAGUGUGCUUGCUCAAGCUCUGGAAAUACUACUGCUGCUUAAAAAGCCUCUCACGUGGCAAAAACGGCUAUUCUGUGAUCUACAUUAGUGCAUCACAAGAAAAGAAACUAAGACUACAUGUGGCAAGGUGGAAAAAAAAGAGUAGCAAAUCUUCAGAAAGAACUGAGAAGUGUAACGGGUUAUAUAUAAUCAUUGAUAUGAAGGGCGGGCUGUAAGGUGUAAACAUAAGAAAUGUAAUCAGGAAUUAGCACUGUUGGCCUCUGGCCAUAAAUUGCUCUACAAACUUAACUUUGAAGUUUUAAAAAACCUUCUAUUAGUUCCUAACCGCUCUACUUGGCACACAAUAGAAACACUACCCUACCUCACCACCUCCCCACAACCACACCCCAACAUUUUUUGAAUGUUGCUAAUCUUGUUCAAAUGUCCACUUUUGGCACAUAAGCGCAUCAUCUCCAGGUGGAUCAAAUUUGAUAAUUUGUAUGGCAUCAACAGUGUGCCCUUGAAUGAAGUAACUUAUUGCAAAAGUAUCACCGAGACAGUAAACAUGCGACCUACAUAAAGUAGAGCAAGCAAAACAAGGUAAUGGGUCUAUAUUAACAGAGAGAUGGUAGUCUUACAAGCUGAAUCACAGAGCACAACCAUAGAUUGAAAUCAAAGUCUAACAUUCUCAAAAAGGCGUGUGAUCUCCAAAAGAGAGGCAGAGUCCGUCGGAUCAUGAUGGAUCAUAUGUAUAGGCGGUAGCUGCGACUAGCGGUGUCGCGUCUACAGACGAUGGACAAUGAAAGAGAGGCGGCGCCUUGCCUUAAAAUGGAAGGCGUGGAUGGCACCUUCGUGGAUGUUCAUUUGGUUGCGAAACCAUGAAUAGUUCAUCGUGAUGGAGGCCCUCUUGUCGGUUCCAAGCAUGAAGCGACUGCCGCAGCCCACGGUGCCGUCUCCAAGCUUGACUGAGAAGGUAUCAUCAUCUUGGUGGAUGCAUGUAUUUCUUGCUUUGUAUUUGUUGAAUUGGUUUUAGCUCAUCGUGUCAAUUUGUUCGAGUGUGAGCUCGUGAGCUUGUUACUCUUGGAGCCACCGCUCCUAGACAAUUUGGUGGAUUGUUGUCGGUGACCCAUUUGUGGAGAUUGUGAAGAGGCCCGAGUUAAUUUCGUUGGGUUUGUGAAGUGGUUUUGGAGCUUGCCAUCUUUAGAGUGGAGGAAGAAGCUAGCCAUAUCACACGUUGUGGUGAUAUCUCAAGGAGAUGAAAGUGAGACUGUGUGGUGUUGGUGUGCCUUCGUGGUAGCAACCACCCGACCAACGGAGACUAUUGUAUCGGUGGAUACUUGAACUUCGCGAACAUAUCCAUUGUGUCUUGUCCCUUUACUUUUCUUAAUUCAUACUUUCUACUAUUGAUAUAGAUUGCUAGCUUGUAUCAUUCAUUAUCAUAUCUUUUGAUAUAACUUGUGUAAGCUUGUAUUGCUUACUUGUGCUUGCUUUUAUCAUUAAUUUCCAUAUCACUAUAAACUUGUAUUGCCUACUUUUGAUUCCUAGUUUCCGUAACUGCAUAUAUCUUUUUUAGAAUAAGUUGUUGAUGUACUUAGUUGAGCUAGUCUAUUUAGGAUUUGUGCUUGAAAAGUAUCCGCCUAGUUUAAUUUUCGGAUUAGGAUAAAGCCAAAUCCGUAAAAUUUUAUAAAACGCCUAUUCACCCCCUUUAGGUGACAUCAGAGUACUUUCAGCAUUUCAGCGCAUGCGUUCCUUAGGGAGCGUCCUCGGUCUCCGGUGUGGUUUUCUUUUCUUUCAGGUUUUUCUUGCUUGCACAUAUAUAGAAAACCAUAGCCAUUUUUUAGGAAAAAAAUCUUGAAUUAUAUUUGAAAUGGCGAAACUUAGUGGACAUUUUUUAGUGAAGAACAUAAACUUUUUUAAAAUAAAAGAAAACCCCGAAAGAAAAAAUAUGAAAAAGAAAAUCAGAAAAAUAAUAAUGAGCAAAAUGUAAAUAGUAAAACAAAAAAACCCAUAAUAUAAGAAGUAAACCAGUAGAUAAGAAACAUUAAAGAAAGGAAAACAAAUGACCUGUUUAGGACCUUCUAGAACCUAUAUAAACCAGGAAAACAUUUUGUCGGGUUGACUGGCUGACCAACAUUCCGUUGGUCCGAUGGCAACAUUUAGUGGGAAUGAGUGACAAAUUUUACUGAUGUACACUACCACUUAAAGUAUAACCGGUUAAGGUCCCUUUGGAUUGAAGAAUUUUUGUGGAAUUUUGGAUUUGAAUCCUAAGGAAGACCUUUGAAUCAUAGGAUUGUAGUUCUUAAAUUCCUAUGGAAUCCAUUUGCAUGCCCCUCAUUCCAUAGGUAUAUCAACAUGAGCUCAAACCCCUUUUUAAUUUUUCUUUGGAGAAGCCCAAUGCAUCUUCACACACUAUCUCCCUAUUCUCUCUUCUCGAUCCUCUAAAGCUCCUGUGUUUUUUCCCGUGCACCAUCCAUUGAUAAUCAUUGUACGAUUCUGCGUUUUGGCAUCCCACGGAAUUUUAUGUGGAAGGAGACCUUCCUGUCGACUACGACAACGUCUGUGGCGACUUCGUCGAUCUCAAGAUGAUGUCAUGGCUUAGUCUUUCAGGUGUGCUCAUAGAGGUAGGGUGUGCAUGCGCGCAUUCAUGGGGUGCUUAUAUGUACGUAUGUAUGAGCGCCUGCGUCUAUACCAUGUUCAAAAAAAUCCUGCGUUUUUUAGCGAAAAUCCUGCGUUUUUCUAUCUGUAUAUCUUCAUAUUACUUUUUUUUCCGAAGGGGUAUGGGGGUAGGCCCAGUUGGCCCAUCUACAAGGCCGAGGUCAGGGCCCAGGGCUGGUUAUCACCGGGCAUGCGCACUCCCGACUUGAAAAACAUAAAGUACACCAUGAUCGCCUGAAAGACUUGUACGAGUAUACCACAGGUUAAAAGAGAACACAUAGCAACAUUGCCGAUAAUUGGACCUUGUUGCUGUCAAUUCAGUAUCGGUUCGCUGACACCAGGUGCCCACAAGAACCAACGAAAGGAGAACUAGAAAUGUGCCCACAGAUGGAGCUUUGAUGGCAUUAUUUGUGCAACUAAAAAAGACGUCACGGGCUCAUAACCUUCGAACAGCAAAAUCCUUUCAAAUUAAGAACCGCUCCCAUGUCAAAGUACUGACCCAGCAGCGAAGCCACAGACGGUCACUCCUUUUUCCCAAUUCCGUGAGACAUGUUGUAGACACCACGGCC